RNAcentral lists this ribosomal RNA (253 nucleotides) under uncultured bacterium. RNAcentral's name for it is "partial 16S ribosomal RNA". It matches the Rfam family "Bacterial small subunit ribosomal RNA", at positions 524 to 776 of the family's 1533-position model. The record is from RNAcentral.
UACGUAGGGUGCAAGCGUUGUCCGGAAUUAUUGGGCGUAAGGAGCUCGUAGGCGGUUCGUCACGUCGGCUGUGAAAACCUGAGGCUCAACCUCAGGCCUGCAGUCGAUACGGGCGGACUCGAGUUCGGCAGGGGAGACUGGAAUUCCUGGUGUAGCGGUGAAAUGCGCAGAUAUCAGGAGGAACGCCGGUGGCGAAGGCGGGUCUCUGGGCCGAUACUGACGCUGAGGAGCGAAAGCGUGGGGAGCGAACAGG